Molecule: long non-coding RNA, 2087 nt
Organism: Gopherus evgoodei (Goodes thornscrub tortoise)
Lineage: Eukaryota; Metazoa; Chordata; Testudines; Testudinidae
Exons: 3
Source: RefSeq, a predicted model, not a curated record
UCCUCCCUCCUUUUUCUCUCUCUCUCUUCUCUUCUCUAGUACGUUGGCCAACACACACCCUCUAUCUCUCUGUGUCUGUCCUUGCCUUUCCUUGUGCUGUCUCCCUUUGUAAGACACGGGCAGGCAUGCUAGGUUUGCAUCCCCAGAGGCCAGAUCUCGGGAGCCAUGGAGAGGUAGGAGCGGAUGAAAAGCAUGCGGGGCAGCGGACGCUAAAGUGGAGCUGUGACUGUCUGUGUUUAUUCGGUCUCCAUUCGUCGAGUGGGGCUGAUGUAGAUGGGACUGGAGCGGGAGGCUGGGAUGAGGGCAAGAUUUAGCGCACGGUAGAUCUCUGUGUAGUGAUCGUUCUUGCUUGGCUUUAUUAGUUUGCAGAGGAAUCGUCCAGGAGCCCAACCGGACAAGAAUAUGGCAGAAGUGGACCUGAGCAGCCUGGACAUCCUUCUAAGGAGACACGAAUAGUCCUCAUGUUUCCGCUUUCUGCAUCACGGGCUAUGAGUAAGAGUACCAAGGAAAAUGAAGUCGCGCAUCAAAGUCUACUGCUCUGAUGCGAUGGAAAGCGAGCAAGAGCGUCGAGACUCUGACCAUUGUUGAUGCCACGCAAAAGCUGUCCAUCUGGAAGCCGAGGAGAUGCUGCUGUCAGCGAGAUAAGUGUCUGGUUUGCGGAGGGCUCUGCUCACGCCCAACCCGAGUCCAGGUAGGGAAGCCCAGUACGGUAAGGCUGGGUUUGUAUGAAAAGGUUCCUGACUAACUGUGGUCACGAGGGAGAAAAGGUCCCUGUUUUCAGAGGUUGCUCAUUUUUCUGGUCAGGAACAGUGUCUCCUGCACAGGGGGAGGUUGGAUCCAGGAGGAUGACUCAGGUGGUGAGUUGCUUGCUUUCCUCCCAUUUGUCUCUCCCUUCUCUAGUGUGUUGGCCAACUUUCUCACUCUCUUCCCUCUCCUCUCCUCGUGUCGUCUCACUUCCUAAGACACGGGCAGACAUGUUAGGUGCGCAUCCCUACAGGCUAGGUCUCGGGAUCCAUGGAGUAGCGGGAGCUGACGAAAAUCAUGCGUAGCAGUGGCUGUUGGUGUUAACUCUGUCUCUGUUGAUGGAGUGGGGCUGAGGUAGAUUGGGUUGGAGAGGGAUGCCAGGUUGAGGGCAAGAUUCGAAGCACCAGUAGAGCUUUGUGUAGUGAUGGCUCAUGCUUGGCUUUUGCAGCUGCUCUUCCAAAGCAAUUUUCCAGGAGUCCUAGACUGAGGAGAAAGUGGCAGAAGUGGACAUGAACAAUCCUCAGCUUUCUGACUCCCGCACAACUGGCUGCUCAUAUACACCCCUUGAACCAAAGGGACUUGCUCUUCACUGACUGACUAUGCCUGGCAGUGCAGGAAAUGGUCAACUGAAGGUAAUGUAUCUUUGGAAGAACUCAGGGUAAGUUUUUAAAGUGAAGAGGUCUGGUUAUGCUCGUGCUGGUUAAUCUUAAGUCUGUAUUAAUACUAUAGUUUAGUUAUAUUAGUAAAUUGUUGAAGUUGUUUAAAGAUUGUAAUAGUCAAUAGUUGAUCAAUAUAUAAUAACUGUAUAUGUUUUUGUGCCUUGCUGGGAAUGGGUACAGUGCUGGUGAACCUAGUAGCUUUGCAUGUCGCUGUGCCUGUCUUUUAUAUAAGUUACCAUCAUAAAAGUCAAUAAAUGCUUAUGAGUUGUUAUACAAAGUUAUAGGUAGGUUAAGGUUAGUAAAAUAUAGUUAGUCCAUGUAUUAAUAUUGCAUAUAGAAUUGUAUUUGUUGGGGUGGGUGCAGUACAUGUAAGGUUACUAGGCAAUCAGUAAUAGUAGCAUUGCAUGCGCUUGUAACUAUUUUCAAUAUUAUUUACCUUUUAUAUGUGCACUUAUAGGAAUAGGCAGUUAUUGCAUAAUAUUACUUGUACUUGUGCUUGUCUCCAGUAUAAUUUGCCAUUUGUAUUAAUCCUCACUCAGUGCUGGUCUUUAAUUCUGUUUUUCUUAUUCUAUCUGUGUUGCCUUUAUAGUCAUAAGUCAUUAAAAACCUUUCUGGAGGAAUAAUUAAUUGCUUAGUUUCUGUUUUGCAGACACUAUUCAGCCUCUUUACAUCUGUGUUGGGUGG